This 335-nucleotide small RNA is filed under the name Macaca fascicularis (crab-eating macaque). Its description in RNAcentral is "Metazoan signal recognition particle RNA (ENSMFAG00000060313.1)". The record is from Rfam by way of RNAcentral. Lineage: Eukaryota; Metazoa; Chordata; Mammalia; Primates; Cercopithecidae.
GCCGGGCGUGGUGGCGGGUGCCUGUAGUCCCAGCUACUCAGGAGGCUGAGGCAGGAGAAUGGCGUGAACCCAGGAGGCAGAGGUUGCAGUGAGCCGAGAUAGCGAUACUGCACUCCAGCCUGCGCAAAAAACCACAGAACUGGUAAUGGACAGUGCAGGACCCUGAAUCCAGCUCUUGCACACUUUACAAUGCUGACCUAUAAGGAGGGGCUUUUUUUUUUUUUUUUUUUUUUUGAGACAGAGUCUCACUCUGUUGCCCAGGCUGGAGUGCAGUGGCAUGAUCUCGGCUCACUGCAACCUCCACCUCCUAGGUUCAAGAGAUUCUCCUGCCUCAG